This 435-nucleotide long non-coding RNA is filed under the name Panax ginseng (ginseng). RNAcentral's name for it is "long non-coding RNA (PGIN_LNC007691)". Lineage: Eukaryota; Viridiplantae; Streptophyta; Magnoliopsida; Apiales; Araliaceae. The record is from RNAcentral.
AAUAUCAAUGUAAAUAACUUAACGAACAAUAAAAUAUGAUCGAACUAAAUUCUUAUCAAGUAUUUAUUGAGUCGAGAAUCGAGUUUGGAAUCCGAUUAGUUGACACCAACUUUAUCGUAAUAAGUUAUAUUUUUAUUUUUUAUUGCAUGAAUUAUAAAAAUAUUGCAUUUGAUAAUUUUUUAUUAAAUUGAUUAAUAGAACGUUUUCUAUAACACAUCCAAUAAAAUGAAAUGAAAUUGGUGUCAAUGUGAGUUUGUUUGUAGGGUACCGGUACACGUUGUAAACAUUUUUAUUAAUAUUGUGAGAGAGAUCGAGGAUGUAGAGAAGAAUUGUUUUGCCGUCAAGAAGAAGGUAUAGGAGUCGCAUCAAAGAAGUAGGUCAAUUAGACACGACAAAAAUGGUGGUCGACGGAUUCGAUGAUAAGUAGUAUGUACG